Molecule: non-coding RNA, 114 nt
Organism: Acanthosepion pharaonis
Lineage: Eukaryota; Metazoa; Mollusca; Cephalopoda; Sepiida; Sepiidae
Source: the annotation of a GenBank genome assembly
ACGACCACAUCACGUUGAAACAUCGGUUUCGUCCGAUCACCGAAGUUAAGCAACGUCGAGCCUGGUCAGUACCUAGAAGAUGGGUGACCGCUUGGGAAUACCAGGUGCUGUAAG